CAGUGAUAAAACAACGCUCUUAGUAUCGCGAAUCUAAGAUUUCCCCCGCUUGAGUUGGCAGGGGAGAAGGAUAAAAGAAGCGAGCGGCAGCGUUGGGCGUCUCACUGCUUCCUACCGUUGACAGGUUUGCAGACAUAUUCCUGAAUGAUGCAAAGUGUUAGUUUUCGGUUCACAAUGAAGAUCAUUCAAGUGUGCCUAGCUCUGAUAGGCGCUGCCUACGCUCAUUUACCUAUUGGAGAAGUUGAGAAACGAUGCCUGGUGGACAAACCGCACGUGUCACAAGGUGUCGCUUACGUCGCGGACGUC
Lingula anatina is the source of this 306-nucleotide long non-coding RNA. Lineage: Eukaryota; Metazoa; Brachiopoda; Lingulata; Lingulida; Lingulidae. The record is from RefSeq and is a predicted model, not a curated record.